UCGGGAAUUUUGGGCAAUGGGCGAAAGCCUGAUCCAGCCAUGCCGCGUGAGUGAAGAAGGCCUUAGGGUUGUAAAGCUCUUUUACCAGGGACGAUAAUGACGGUACCUGGAGAAUAAGCCCCGGCAAACUUCGUGCCAGCAGCCGCGGUAAUACGAAGGGGGCUAGCGUUGUUCGGAAUUACUGGGCGUAAAGCGCACGUAGGCGGGUCGUUAAGUCAGGGGUGAAAUCCCGGAGCUCAACUCCGGAACUGCCUUUGAUACUGGCGAUCUAGAGGUCGAGAGAGGUGAGUGGAAUUCCGAGUGUAGAGGUGAAAUUCGUAGAUAUUAGGAAGAACACCAGUGGCGAAGGCGGCCAACUGGCUCGAUACUGACGCUGAGGUGCGAAAGCGUGGGGAGCAAACAGGAUUAGAUACCCUCGUAGUCCCUGAGCGGGCUGGCAAGGCGCAU
RNAcentral lists this ribosomal RNA (447 nucleotides) under uncultured bacterium. RNAcentral's name for it is "bacterial SSU rRNA". It matches the Rfam family "Bacterial small subunit ribosomal RNA", at positions 355 to 825 of the family's 1533-position model. The record is from RNAcentral.